UCUGAAGGCGCCUGGUAAAUCGCAAAGGCCUGGCUACUGCUGAAAGGCAGGCAUCUCCAGAGCACAGCCUCGGGCGUGAUUGGGUUAGAAUGGUUUUCCAAAAGCUUGCGAGGCUUGAUCAUCCUUGCUUUAGUCGGCAAGGAAGUGGGCUCAAAGAGGUUAUCCCAACAUAGGAGGGGCGCCCGACCCGUAAGUGGAGAAACCGGAACUCGACCUGGAUCUCUGGACUGCCAACUUCAGGCCCUUUCCAGCCUCAGUAUUUGCUUACCAGGAAGUUUUCAGGCUCUCAGACUUCGGGUUGCCCUGUGCUCUCUACUUCUCUAUACUCCCAUUGGCCUAUCAGCGACCACCAGAGGACAAUGGGAAGGGCCCUUUGCUAAAGACAGGGCACAAAACUCAAUGAGACCCCUUAAGUUGCAGCGAAAAAGAAACAGAAGAGGCUGAACUCAGAGCCAACCUGCUGCCUCCCACACAAUGUAAUUGAUUCUUGAGGCCGCCAUUUGGAAGUGGAGCUCCCUACAGUCUGAGCAGCAGAAUGUGGGGAAGGGCAUUUUAUUUUAUUUAUGUUUUAACCAUCAAUGUAUCUUUAAUUCGCAAAUAAAAGCUGUAGCAAAAUGUCAUC
This is a long non-coding RNA of Cebus imitator (Panamanian white-faced capuchin), 622 nucleotides long. RefSeq lists it as uncharacterized. The transcript is spliced from 3 exons. Lineage: Eukaryota; Metazoa; Chordata; Mammalia; Primates; Cebidae. The record is from RefSeq and is a predicted model, not a curated record.